RNAcentral lists this ribosomal RNA (673 nucleotides) under uncultured Bacteroidales bacterium. RNAcentral describes it as "bacterial SSU rRNA". It matches the Rfam family "Bacterial small subunit ribosomal RNA", at positions 83 to 754 of the family's 1533-position model. The record is from RNAcentral. Lineage: Bacteria; Pseudomonadati; Bacteroidota; Bacteroidia; Bacteroidales.
GGCCGAUGGCGACCGGCGCACGGGUGAGUAACACGUAUCCAACCUGCCGUCUACUCUUGGACAGCCUUCUGAAAGGAAGAUUAAUACAAGAUGGCAUCAUGAGUUCACAUGUUCACAUGAUUAAAGGUAUUCCGGUAGACGAUGGGGAUGCGUUCCAUUAGAUAGUAGGCGGGGUAACGGCCCACCUAGUCUUCGAUGGAUAGGGGUUCUGAGAGGAAGGUCCCCCACAUUGGAACUGAGACACGGUCCAAACUCCUACGGGAGGCAGCAGUGAGGAAUAUUGGUCAAUGGGCGAGAGCCUGAACCAGCCAAGUAGCGUGAAGGAUGACUGCCCUAUGGGUUGUAAACUUCUUUUAUAAAGGAAUAAAGUCGGGUAUGCAUACCCGUUUGCAUGUACUUUAUGAAUAAGGAUCGGCUAACUCCGUGCCAGCAGCCGCGGUAAUACGGAGGAUCCGAGCGUUAUCCGGAUUUAUUGGGUUUAAAGGGAGCGUAGAUGGAUGUUUAAGUCAGUUGUGAAAGUUUGCGGCUCAACCGUAAAAUUGCAGUUGAUACUGGAUAUCUUGAGUGCAGUUGAGGCAGGCGGAAUUCGUGGUGUAGCGGUGAAAUGCUUAGAUAUCACGAAGAACUCCGAUUGCGAAGGCAGCCUGCUAAGCUGCAACUGACAUUGAGGCUC